ACAUUUGCAAUGGAGCUCUUUAGUCGAGUUUAUGGGACAAGGAUGUAACAAAAAGACCGUUGGAAAGUCGUAAAGUAGACGAUAUAAUAAUAGUACCCGCCCCUCGGACUAGUGCUAAAUCACCACUGGCUGUUUGGACAUAGUUUUUUUUGAUUGGGCAAUGGUUAAAAAAUCAGAGGCGUCGAAGGACAUGUUAUCGGUUGCCCCACAAUCGAAAAUCCAGUGAUUAUCUUUCUUUCCUACGACGGAGGUCGAGGAAUUGGCUAAAGCUUCAAAAGAGUUUUUACAUUCGAUUGUGGGUUCAACGACUAUGCUUUCAUACUUGGGGUCAUUAGGAAUGGGGAUAUUGGAUUUUGAGGGACUAAAAUAGACAUGGGUCGAUUUUGAGGGCCCUGUUUGGUAUAUGUAGUGUGACUAGGGGUCUGUCUAGUUGGGCAUUUGGGUAAGAUUUGGGGUCUAUUUCGAAAUUGGGAUAAGCUGGAGGGUGAAUGGUGUGAUCUUCGAUAUUUGGGGUUGGUUUGGGAUUUAUCAAAAACCAGGGGAGGGAAAAGAUCUCUCCCCCCAAACCCUAGCGUUUUUGGCCGCCUCGCUUUCCACCCAAACCCUAGCUUUCUUUGCCGCCUCUCCUAUCGUCGUCGUCGGCUUACCAUCAUUCCAAACUCGUGCUACUGAGACUGAGGCCACGGCUCUCUCCUCCUCACCAUGAUUUCUGGCAGGGGGCUAAGAGCUGCUUGAGACGCUGCUGCCCGUUGAUUUUUCGGCAAAGGUGGUGAGGUCGCCCACCGCUACUGCCACCGCUGCUCUUCCUCCACCGCCACGAUUCCGAUUUUGUCUUCCCUUCUUCAUUUUUUCCCACCAAUCGGGAUACCCGUGAAUGUGGAAGCACGUUUCCUUGGUGUGUUUUCUCCCUCCACAGUGAAUGCAAGAGAGACGACUUUUAUCUUCCUCCCCUCUCUGUUCGGUGGUCGUGUUUCUGAAUGGGAUGUGUGGUCUAGGGUUGUUCCGGUUGAUGGCCGCGAGACCAGUUCCGAUGCACCUCAUCUAGGGCAUAGAGAUAUUGAUAUGUUCUGUGUCUCUGGGUUCGCUUGUACUUCUCGAUUGAUUUUGGAUGAGUUAUGUCGUUCGGAUCUCUGGAGUCUUUGGAGAUCCAUAGGUCUUGAAAUUUUUGCCUGAGUGCUUCGAGCGUCAUGCUCCCUUGCUUCAUUCUGCUGGCUUGUCGGUGCAGAUCGAACACCUGGAGCGGGUCUCCUCCACUAGCGUAUGUAAUGGCUAGGCCUUCCCAUAGGGCCUUGGUUGUCUCGUAUUGUGAGACUUCAUUCACGAGUUCUAUCUCGAUGUUAUUGAUUAUCCAAUUGAAACAACAGUGAUCUCUUUGUUGUCAUUUGUAAUAAUCGGGAUCGGUUGUGGACAAGGGGUCCGAACCUCCAGAAAUGUGAGACGUCAGACCCUUCCCUCCUAUGGCUCGGUUCAUGAGUUUCACUUUCGCCCAAAGGGGAUUAUGUUCCCCUUUAGGUUUGGCUUUGAGGUGGAUUUCAUCAAGGGAUUCAAGUUGAUUUUGGGUAGUUUUUGAGGUAUUAGGUUUGGCUGAUGAAUUGAUUUGUUUCACGAAAUCAGCAAAUUGAGUUGCCAUUUUGAUGGGGAUACUGAUGGAGGUUUGAGUAGUAUUUGUGGUGGUUUCCGAGUCAGAUUCUGACAUUGCAAAAAGGGCCGAGAAAGGUUCCGUCCCAACCAUCCAUGAGUUCGUUAUGGAGUGGAGAAACUCAACUGGGACAGCUGAAACAGAUGAUCAUUGACCCAUGAUGCACCAACUUCUAUUAGGAUCAUAAUAAAAUAUAAUAUGGAAUCAUGUUACAGUACAAGUUUGUUGAUGUUACUUUACCUGCUUUGGGUUGGGGAACUGGUGCAUAGUGUUGAGAUGGAGGGCCUUGUGGUUUGUGGUAAGGACUGGAAGAGAGAGUGUGCAGUCUUGUGAAAACUCCAACAAGAGGGGCAGUUCCAGACAAUGUAGGCUCAGUCUGUUUGUAAACAGAUCUAUCAUCUGUGAACUCAUCAUUGGCAUUAGGGCCUCCCACAAGGGCUCCAUGGAUGACAUUAGGGUUGGUCUCGUUGCGCUUGUACCAAGUCUUGAACCCCUCCACACAUCCAACAGAUGCGUGAAGGAGAGAGACAGGAGCAAUGGAGGCGCUCCUAUGGUGGACAUGGACUGGAUAGCUCUGUCCAUAGCCCACCAAGUAGCUCAAGGACUUGGGGUUCUUGCCAAGAAUGUAGUCAGCCUGCAUUUGCAAUUUUAGGGUUAAGACAAGACAACCACCAAUGUUAGAAAACAGGGAAGUGGGAAAAACAGUAGUACUUGUGAUUUGGCGAAGUUGAGGAUUUGUUGAGGCUGGAUUAGGCCAUCUGGGCAUUGCACGGACUUCUUGGCUUUGGUGAGGUAGUCAGAGUAGACGGUGAGGAGGAAAGAAGCCGAGGAAGAGUACUGCAAGUUGUUCCACUCACGUACAUAGAUAAGGCCACCUAAUUAGCAACAAUAACCAAUCAGUCAAAAAAUGCAGCAAUCUUGGAAAUGGAUUACAUAUAUAGAAGAAUGUGGGCUAACCAGGAGUCAACUUCACGUUGUAUCCAUCGUUCUUUUGCAUGCACGCACAGGUGAAGUAGUCGGCUUUCGCCUGAUACUUCUGCAGCGUGGAGGCAUAGCUUCCAGCACGACCUUCCAGAAGCAUCUGAGGUGGAUAUCAUAAUAGUUGAAUAAGUACAUUGUUUGUGUUCAUGUGUUUGAUGAUCUUGGUUUACCUUUGUGAGAAGGAUUUGAACUCCAGCGUACUUGUUGUCCCACGAGAAUUCUUUGACAGCCCAGCCGGUUCCUCCAAAGGCGGCGCAGUUGUCAACAACAUAUUUCAAAAUCAUAAGGCUUGAAAGCCAGAGAGGUGGCAGCCAAGGCGGCCGCAGUUUCUCCUGCUAGGUCGGACCCAGGAUGCUCAGCGUCCAGCUUGUAUGCGGUCCGGGACGUCGUCAUGUCCUCCGCCCGUUGCCAGCAAUAGUGAUCCGACACUCCAUCUCCAACCUAAUUAAUCACAUUAGUUUCACCAUGGUCACAAUUAAUUAACAUUUUAGUAUGUGUGUUAACAUUAGUUUCACCAUUGUUGACCUAGUAUGUGUGUUUAUUGCAUGGCAUAUAUACCUGUCCCCAUAGCACAUUUUGUUGAGGGUGGCAUCUGAUGAAAUAAUCAGUUCCCCAUUUGAUAGCCUCCAAAACAUGUCCCAUUUGAUUUAAUUUAAUGAAAUCUUCCUUAAAAUCAAUAGCUGCCCAUGACAACAUUGUCACACUAAACGCCAUUGGUAGACCAAAUUUUACGUGGUCUCCUGCAUCAUAGUAUCCUCCCAGCAAAUUCACCUAAAAUUAAAAAUAUAAGUUAGGUGCACAUUGAUUCAUAUGAAAUAAUAUAUAAACCUAUGAAAUUAAUUAAUGCAGGUGAAUAUUAGUUAUUACCCCUUGCGAAUAACCAUCGCCAAGGCCGGAAUUACCGCGCCAUUUUACGCGUUGGGUUGGAGGUAAUUUACCGGAUCGUUGCGCCUCCAAGAAGAGCAAGGUUUUAUCGAGGGCGGCGCUGUAGUCGAUGGACUCGACUGCAGUGGCGCCCGUGGCAACGAGGCCGAGUAAGAGGACUAAAAUGGCGUGUGUGGUUGCUGCCAUUUCUUGGUUUUGGGUUUAGAAGAUGUGAUCAUAUUUUUGUAUGUCACGUUUAUUUGUAUAAUUUUGGAGGAGGGUAGGUAGGGUGACUAUGUAUAGAUGUUUUAUGAGGAAUAUGAAUGAGUGGGAGGAGAGCAUAGGAUAGUGGCCUCCACAUUCUUGUAUAUUAAUGCAAUUAAAGAUUUAGCUUUCCACGUUGGGUUUUUAAAUGAUAUUAAAUAUUAAUUCAAUGAAAUUUUAUGUUG
Non-coding RNA from Salvia hispanica, 3933 nucleotides. The record is from RefSeq and is a predicted model, not a curated record. Lineage: Eukaryota; Viridiplantae; Streptophyta; Magnoliopsida; Lamiales; Lamiaceae.